AGCAAUUCCCCAAUAGAUUUGAGCAUCAUGAAGCAUUGCUUUCAGUCUUCCAAACAAAUGCCAGUAAUUAAAAACUUAACAGAUUACUAGACCUUUAGGGUUUUUACUCCUAUAACUCAGUGGAAUUUUAUGCUAGUGGAGCAGCCUUUCUGAGUUACUCAGAUCCUCUUUUAUCAGUGCCAGAUAAUGAAGGUAAGAUGUUACCUUCCCGGGUGGUUCCUUGUGUUCUCCCCCAUCACCUCAGUGGAGUCCAAUAGCAAAUCUUGCCUCUAUUGUUUUAACCCUGCUUGAAGAGGUAAAACUCACAAGGGGAUAUGGCAAUUUCAUGGUUCAGAAAUAUGGCUUCUGCGUGGAAAAUUGAGUCCAAGCCAGCCACUGUAAGGUGUUUCCUCUGGAAUGCUGAUCCCUUCCCCUUCGCAGGAAUCAAUAUAUCACCCAAGGUCAGCAUAUGAAGCCCUGCUUGGCAGGGUCAUGUUCUGCUUAUGAUGAGAGGAAGGAGCUUGGGAAAGCUUUGCAUCCUACCCAGGGAAGUGAUCAAGAGAUAGGAGGUGAGAUCUGAAAAAUUAAUUGCGGGGUGUGUUUGUUGAAGCUAAAGAGUAGACCGAACUGCUUGCUAGCAUAUUUAUUCCAUGAGAUAUGUUUGAUUGAUUAAAGAGACUCUUUCUAUGUUUCUCUUACCUUUUCACUUCCUUUUUAGGAAUCACCUUAGCCUGACACUUAUUUUACAAUGGACUGGAAAUGUCUUUAAAAUGUCUCCCUUCCUGUUACAAUGCAAUCUACUAACAGCCAUCUCAUUAACCUCACUAGGUCAACUUUCCACACUCUUGCAAGGGCAUCAUUUCCCCUUAAACGGCUGCAACUACGAACGAUCUGGAGUGUCCAGUUUUGUUAAAGAGGCUGACAGGUACACCUCCACGUAGUAUUUGGAUAUUUCAUGAGCCCCAGCAUACUGAAAGUUGUCAUUUUCCAGCAUUUUUUGGUCUGGCUACGUCCACUGCUAAAUAGUUUUUGCAAUAUUAAAAGAUUAAUGAGCUUGA
Molecule: long non-coding RNA, 1037 nt
Organism: Hemicordylus capensis (graceful crag lizard)
Lineage: Eukaryota; Metazoa; Chordata; Lepidosauria; Squamata; Cordylidae
Exons: 2
Source: RefSeq, a predicted model, not a curated record